RNAcentral lists this ribosomal RNA (301 nucleotides) under uncultured bacterium. Its description in RNAcentral is "partial 16S ribosomal RNA". It matches the Rfam family "Bacterial small subunit ribosomal RNA", at positions 509 to 809 of the family's 1533-position model. The record is from RNAcentral.
CAGCAGCCACGGUAAUACAGAGGGUGCGAGCGUUAAUCGGAUUUACUGGGCGUAAAGCGUGCGUAGGCGGCUUUUUAAGUCGGAUGUGAAAUCCCUGAGCUUAACUUAGGAAUUGCAUUAGAUACUGGGAAGCUAGAGUAUGGGAGAGGAUGGUAGAAUUCCAGGUGUAGCGGUGAAAUGCGUAGAGAUCUGGAGGAAUACCGAUGGCGAAGGCAGCCAUCUGGCCUAAUACUGACGCUGAGGUACGAAAGCAUGGGGAGCAAACAGGAUUAGAUACCCCAGUAGUCCCUGUCUCUUAUAU